This 174-nucleotide unclassified non-coding RNA is filed under the name uncultured Cyphellophora. RNAcentral's name for it is "sequence contains ITS2". Lineage: Eukaryota; Fungi; Ascomycota; Eurotiomycetes; Chaetothyriales; Herpotrichiellaceae. The record is from RNAcentral.
UCACCCCUCAAGCCCGGCUUGUUGUUGGACGCCGGUGGUGGCCCUUGUGCCCCGCCCGUCUCAAAGAUAAUGACGGCGUCUGUGAGGACUCCUGUACAUUGAGCUUUCGAGCACGUACUAGGUCAGCUCUCCAGGCCCGGUCUUUUAAGUUGCUUCGGCGACGAACUUUUCUAA